CCAGUCCCCCAAUAGGGUCCGAGGCGGUGGUCAAAAACUGAAGGGUAAGUGUGUUGAAGCUUCCCUUGUGAAGGAGUUCAAGUCACAGGAAGGUGGAAGUACAGAAGCUGGCAGGGAGUUCCAGAGUUUACCAGAGAAAGGGGUGAAUGACUGACAAUACUGGUUAACUCUUGCAAUAGAGAGGUGGACAGAUCAGUGGUGAGAGAAAGAAGGUGUUGUGUAGCGAGGCCGCUGGAGAGGGGAGGCAUGCACGUGAGGCACACUCCAUACAUGGGCGAGUAUGGCCCCUGUACAGAGUUAGCAAGCUCUAAGGCCACGGAGACGAGGAGUGCCUGUGUUGUCACCACUGCCUCUAUCAAAGCUACGUGACUCAUUUCCCAUGCAUAUUCUCUCUCUCUCUCUCUCUCUCUCUCUCUCUCUCUCUCUCUCUCUCUCUCUCUCUCUCUCUCUCUCUCUCUCUCUCUCUCCCUCUCCCCUCCCCCCCUUCCUCUCGCUUUCUCUAUCUCUCUCUCCCGCUGCUUCCUUGGUUUAGUGUUGCCUGUGUUGUGCCCGAAAGCAGUGUUGUAUAUUUUAUUGCGCUGUGCCCGUAAUCAUUGAGUGACCGCCCUGUGCGUGUGUUGACGCGUCAGGAAGGGAGUGUUGCGUCUCCAGGCACCUCCCGCCUCACUCCUUGCUUCCUCCCGUCUCCCAGAGUCUACACACCUGCACUCUUGAGAUGCUGGUCGUGAACAAGUUGGCGACACGUUCUGGUGACCUCACUAGCGUGCUCGUAAAACUGCUGUGCUAACUGUGUCCGCGCCACCACAGCGUUGUAAGUGGCUGGCAUGUUGAGACACCCCUCCACCUGUGCCUG
Scylla paramamosain (green mud crab) is the source of this 853-nucleotide long non-coding RNA. RefSeq lists it as uncharacterized. The record is from RefSeq and is a predicted model, not a curated record. Lineage: Eukaryota; Metazoa; Arthropoda; Malacostraca; Decapoda; Portunidae. The transcript is spliced from 3 exons.